UUUGAGCUUUAAAGUCUCUCUGACUUUAAAGACUGUUCUUCCCACUACAAUGGGGCUAUUUUGUUGUUGUUGAUCUCUAAAACAUAAAACAAAACAACACACCUAGUUGUAAAAUGACAGCAUAAUUAGUUUUACUACUGUUCUGGCAUCCAGCAAGGAGUGGAAUGCAGUUUAAAAAGGCCCAAGAGAUCAAGAGAGAGAUUUAAAGUCUCAGCAUGGCCCCUCAAAGGUUUGCUAUUUUGGAUAAGGAAACUGAGCCACAGAUUUGAAAUGGCAGGUGCAAGGAGUCAUAGAUAAAAGAAAGAAAAGCCUUUGAGUGGCUGAGACACGCUGUUAACUCGUGCUAAAGCUCACGGCUGGCUACGAACCCCACCCACUGCAGAGCCGGGUCUCGGAAGCUGCCUGCACACCAGUGGGGCAGUUGAGGCAAGCGCCUUGGCAGAGCCCCUCGUGGUCGGAGGCACAGCGAUGAAAUACUUUUACGUUCAGCAGUAGCAGGUCUGCGCAGAAGCAUUCAAGAACCAGUGACUAAAUGUAUACAACUAUGUACAUGUGUUUAUAAAGCAUCCCUUAAAAUA
Eptesicus fuscus (big brown bat) is the source of this 578-nucleotide long non-coding RNA. RefSeq lists it as uncharacterized. The record is from RefSeq and is a predicted model, not a curated record. The transcript is spliced from 3 exons. NCBI's taxonomy places the organism in Eukaryota, Metazoa, Chordata, Mammalia, Chiroptera, Vespertilionidae.